Molecule: ribosomal RNA, 453 nt
Filed under: uncultured bacterium
Lineage: Bacteria
Description: bacterial SSU rRNA
Rfam family: Bacterial small subunit ribosomal RNA
Source: RNAcentral
UACGGAAGGCAGCAGUGGGGAAUAUUGCACAAUGGGCGCAAGCCUGAUGCAGCCAUGCCGCGUGUAUGAAGAAGGCCUUCGGGUUGUAAAGUACUUUCAGUCGUGAGGAAGGUGUUAAGGUUAAUAACCUUAGCAAUUGACGUUAGCGACAGAAGAAGCACCGGCUAACUCCGUGCCAGCAGCCGCGGUAAUACGGAGGGUGCGAGCGUUAAUCGGAAUUACUGGGCUAAAGGGCACGCAGGCGGUUAAUUAAGUUGGAUGUGAAAUCCCCGGGCUUAACCUGGGAAUGGCAUUCAAGACUGGUUAGCUAGAGUCUUGUAGAGGGGGUAGAAUUCCAUGUGUAGCGGUGAAAUGCGUAGAGAUGUGGAGGAAUACCGGUGGCGAAGGCGGCCCCUGGACAAAGGACUGACGCUCAUGUGCGAAAGCGUGGGGAGCAAACAGGGAUUAGAUACC